GCGAGCGAACGUGGAUGAGGCUAAACCAUGUGCGUGUGAUACCUGGCAGGGGUUGCGUGUGUGGUGUUGUGGGGUGCAGUGUUUCUGGGCUGCUGACCAGGAGCGUGCGCGUGCGUGUUAGCGGAAGCAUCUGGGAUGGUGCGCCGGAGUGGGUGAGAGUCCUGUACGUGAAGGCGUGUGCGUGUGUGUUGUUGUUGCCCCGAGUAGCAGCGG
Molecule: ribosomal RNA, 213 nt
Filed under: Aplanochytrium sp. PBS07
Lineage: Eukaryota; Bigyra; Thraustochytrida; Thraustochytriidae
Description: partial Bacterial large subunit ribosomal RNA
Source: RNAcentral